UGGAAUGCUGAGGCUUCAAACGUGAUCGAGAAUGACCUUAUCUUCAUACCAUGAACAAGUUGAAUUAAUUCCUUCGGUACUGAGCAAAAUAAUUAUGGAAGCCAAAUAAAAUCAAACCUCCAAACUUUAUUUUUUGGAUUUUGUGUAUAAAAGCUAUCUUGCGGUGCUUUGAAUUGGCCUCCGGUUUGAAGGUCAAUUUCUUCAAGAGCAUGCUAGUAGGGAUUAGGGUGGAUGAGUUAUCCUUGGCUAGAUUCGCUGGCGUCCUUAAUUGUAAAUGUGGACGGCUACCUUUUGUCUACUUAGGUAUUCCUAUACGGGCUAACCCUAGAAAUGAGGUGAUGUGGGAACCGGUAAUAAGGAAAUUGAAGAGCAAAUUAGCUGUGUGGAAGCAAAAGUCGCCUUCCAUUGGAGGGAGACUGACUCUCACUAAUUCGGUACUUGCUUCAUUGCCUUUAUACUAUGCAUCUUUCUUUAAGAUUCCACCUUGUGUGAUUAAGAAGAUUUUUAGGAUACAAAGAGGGUUUCUUUGGGGUGGAGAGGAGGAUGGGGGGAAGGUGGCUUGCGUGAAGUGGGAUGAUGUGUGUGUGGCCAAGGGAGAUGGAUGGCUUGGUAUAAAAAAUAUAAAGACUUUUAAUGUUGCACUUUUCGGCAAAUGGAGGUGCAGGCCUGCUUUAAAUCAAGAUUGAUUAUUGUCUAAGGUACUUAGAUCAAAAUAUCUAUUUUCUUUCCCCUCUCUCGUUAAAAGAAUGCCUAAUGAUGAUUCAUUGGGGUGAAGAGAUUUUGGGGAGGUAUAUGGCCAAAAUGGAGGUGGGGAUGAACCUUCUAGGUUUGAUAGAAACCUUUUGUGGGAGGUGGGCAAUGGGAAAAAAGUAAGUUUUUUGGCAUUCCAACCGUGUGGGGGAAGAUUGCUUAGCAAAGAGGUUCCCACGGGUGUAUCUUAAUUCUACACAAAAAGAUCUCGUGGUUGGGGAGAUAGAUGUUUGGGUGGAUGGUGGGUGGGUUUGGAAGUUGGGAUGGCGUAGGAACUGGUUCACAUGGGAAGAACCAAUAGUGGAUGAUCUCAACCAAAUUCUGCAACGUGUCAUGUUGUCCCAAGAACGAGAGGAUAGGCUUAUAUGGAAGGCAGCAUCAUCUUGAUGAUCAUUCACCGCCAAUUCGCAUUUGGAAUCUCAAAUUGCCUUAUAUGGUGGGUGUCUUUUUGUGGAGGGUACUUAAGCAUAGGCUGCCAUCUAAAGAUAACUUGGUGAGACGACGCAUUCUAUCUCCAGGAGGAUAUUUUGAGAUUAAAAGAGGUUACCCGCAUGCAAAAUUUACUAUAAGUUAUAAAGGGUGGUAUGAGUGACUCAACAGAAAGUACCCAAAAUGAUAAAGAAGUCAGAGAAAGUAAUUAACUCUUACUGUCAAGCCACAAAGUAAGUUUUUGUCCUGCUUUCAUGCAUCAUUUUGAUAAUUUGAAGUGACUUUCUUAAUUGUUUGCGAGAAUUCACACUGUGGGAAAGGAUGUUGAUGUUGCUGUGGUAAUUAGCUUGUUCACAUGAAGGCAACUAAUGUGUCGAGUGAGCUUAGUUGAUUUAUCAUUGAAUGCAAGAGGAUCAUGUUUUUUUUUGGAAGGCAACAUUUGAUGUUCUUUUUAAAAUUAGUUUGAAUUUUAAGUGUUUGGGUUAUUGAAGAUUAGUGGUGGUUUUGUAUAUGUUUACUAUUUAGAACGGUUGUUAAGACUGAAUUUUGUAUAUUGAAGAUUCAAAUUUUUAGUGUAAUUGUUUUAUGCAAA
Molecule: long non-coding RNA, 1771 nt
Organism: Glycine soja
Lineage: Eukaryota; Viridiplantae; Streptophyta; Magnoliopsida; Fabales; Fabaceae
Exons: 4
Source: RefSeq, a predicted model, not a curated record